UCCGAGUGGGCCUCCAGCCAGGCCCGUCCAGGUGAACAAAAGGAGGAGCUCCCUCAUAGGUCUAAAGGGCUCUGAGCAGCCUGUGACCUGUCUUCCGGGACUUCCUGUGCCUCUGCAAUGGGGAUGAGGAGGACUUUACCCCCUUCUCCCCGGCUCUUCUGGGGCUGCUGAGCACAUUCACAAUCGCCUUCGUCGCUCGGAGACCUCGCCGGCGGCGACAGGGCAUCUGCUCCGUGCCCGAUGCCGUUGGGAAGCAGAACUGGCCGUGAAAACCAGACUUCGGGGAUGGGGUGGAGACUUCCGCAUGAUCCGCCUCAACAGAAUAUCAAAAGGACCCUGAAGAACCUAAAAAGAGUUACAGACAAAAUUCAAGAGCUUGCGCGGGCACACACACACACACACACACACUGUGGUGAGUAGUGUGAUUUAAAAAAAUAAUUUCCACUACAUUUCCAUCUGUCCUGCAACUCAAGGUAGCCAUCUCAGGAUUCAUACAUCAAGACAUAAAACAAAGGGCGGCUUUGAAGUGGAUCACCUCCGUGUGAACUGCUGCCCGUUACAUGAUAACCGAUCAUCGGCCUUCAAAUUUAUGGCGCUUUAAUGGGGUGAGCCCAGUGCCUUAAAUGGAGGGUGUAUUACGUAUUGAGUUAUCUGGGCUAAAUAAGAAUGAUUUAGAAGGCGCGUCCAGGGCUUCCCAUAGGGUAGAGGAGGCUCAGGCUGAGAGAUCGAGAGAACUCGGGCAGAGAGCGAGCCCAGCUCUGCAGCAAAUAUAUCCCCACUGAGCAAACCCGAAAAGGAGUGGUUUCGGAAUCCCCCAAUAGUAAAGCCAACAGGGAGUGAAGAAUCGUUGCUAUGUUCCAGUGAAUUAACGGAGGUGCCCAGCACAAGUCUUGUCUGCCAGAAAGAGAUGUGUGGGUUUCCGAGGCCCUGGUUUAGGAAAAACAAAAACAAAGAGAGGAGCCAACUACAACCUUAGAAACAUUUGAGAGCAACAGAAGCAACCGGCACAUCAUCGCCUCCCCCUUCUCUUUCAACUUGCCCUGACUCUACCGGCCCAUAAUUUAACUGCGACUGCCGCGCUAGUCACAGCCCAGGCGACUGCCGCCCCCUCCUUCCCCGAGCCCCUCGGUCUUUGACGGCCCCGGCGGGAGAGCG
This 1155-nucleotide long non-coding RNA is filed under the name Lynx canadensis (Canada lynx). RNAcentral describes it as "lncRNA (ENSLCNG00005011145.1)". The record is from RNAcentral. Lineage: Eukaryota; Metazoa; Chordata; Mammalia; Carnivora; Felidae.